RNAcentral lists this non-coding RNA (97 nucleotides) under Cellulomonas sp. Its description in RNAcentral is "SAM-I sequence". It matches the Rfam family "SAM riboswitch aptamer (S box leader)". Rfam says of the family: The SAM riboswitch is found upstream of a number of genes which code for proteins involved in methionine or cysteine biosynthesis in Gram-positive bacteria. The SAM riboswitch acts at the level of transcription termination control. The record is from RNAcentral. Lineage: Bacteria; Bacillati; Actinomycetota; Actinomycetes; Micrococcales; Cellulomonadaceae.
CACCUAUCAGGAGCGGUACGAGAGACCUGGCUCUGUGACACCGCAGCAACCCCCCGGCCGAUCCGGGUGCGGGUGCUAAUGCCAGGACCGAUGGAGG